GUCUGCCCACUGAAUUAUUUAAAGGGCCGCAGUAUACUGACUGUGCUAAGGUAGCAUAAUAAUUUGCCCCUUAAUUAGGGGAUUGGAUGAAUGGCCUAACAGUUUAACUUUUUUUUAUUAAUAGCAUUCUUGAACUUAUUGUUUUAGUAAAAAUACUUAAUUAAUUCUUGAAGACGAUAAGACCCUAUAGAUCUUUAUUUUUUUUUAUUUUUAAAUUAUUAGAUUUAUAAUUUAAUUAAAAUAUAAUUAUUUUGCUGGGGUAGUAGGAGAAUGAUAUAAUUUUCUCUAGAGUUUAAUUUUUUUUUAUUAAAUUUAUCUAUUUUUUUAAUCUAAAAAGUUACCUUAGGGAUAACAGCGUAAUAUUUUUGGUGAGUUCAUAUCGAUAAAUUAUCUUGCGACCUCGAUG
This 406-nucleotide ribosomal RNA is filed under the name Pygmarrhopalites sp. A5 AK-2018. RNAcentral describes it as "partial 16S ribosomal RNA". Lineage: Eukaryota; Metazoa; Arthropoda; Collembola; Symphypleona; Arrhopalitidae. The record is from RNAcentral.